AAUUUUGGACAAUGGGGGAAACCCUGAUCCGGCCAUCCCGCGUGUAUGAUGAAGGCCUUCGGGUUGUAAACUGCUUUUGUACGGGAGGAAAAGCUUUGGGUUAAUACGCUGGAGUCAUGACGGUAGCUUCAGAAUAAGCACCGGCUAACUACGUGCCAGCAGCCGCGGUAAUACGUAGGGUGCAAGCGUUAAUCGGAAUUACUGGGCGUAAAGCGUGCGCAGGCGGUUUGGUAAGACAGAGGUGAAAUCCCAGGGCUCAACCUGGGAACUGCAUUUGUGACUGCCAGGCUAGAGUACGGCAGAGGGGGGUAGAAUUCCACGUGUAGCAGUGAAAUGCGUAGAUAUGCGGAGGAACACCGAUGGCGAAGGCAACCCCCUGGGCUUGUACUGACGCUCAUGCACGAAAGCGUGGGGAGCAAACAG
RNAcentral lists this ribosomal RNA (423 nucleotides) under uncultured bacterium. RNAcentral describes it as "partial 16S ribosomal RNA". It matches the Rfam family "Bacterial small subunit ribosomal RNA", at positions 360 to 775 of the family's 1533-position model. The record is from RNAcentral.